GAUAUUGCGCAAUGGGGGCAACCCUGACGCAGCAACGCCGCGUGACGGAUGAAGGUUUUCGGAUUGUACACUUCUUUUAUUAAGGACGAAAUUUGACGGUACUUAAUGAUUAAUUUCUGNCUAACUACGUGCCAGCAGCCGCGGUAAUACGUAGGGAGCAAGCGUUGUCCGGAUUUACUGGGUGUAAAGGGUGCGUAGGCGGCUUUGCAAGUCAGAUGUGAAAUCUAUGGGCUCAACCCAUAAACUGCAUUUGAAACUGUAGAGCUUGAGUGAAGUAGAGGCAGGCGGAAUUCCCCGUGUAGCGGUGAAAUGCGUAGAGAUGGGGAGGAACACCAGUGGCGAAGGCGGCCUGCUGGGCUUUAACUGACGCUGAGGCACGAAAGCGUGGGUAGCAAA
Molecule: ribosomal RNA, 396 nt
Filed under: uncultured bacterium
Lineage: Bacteria
Description: bacterial SSU rRNA
Rfam family: Bacterial small subunit ribosomal RNA
Source: RNAcentral